Molecule: small nuclear RNA, 163 nt
Organism: Hippoglossus stenolepis (Pacific halibut)
Lineage: Eukaryota; Metazoa; Chordata; Actinopteri; Pleuronectiformes; Pleuronectidae
Product: U1 spliceosomal RNA
Exons: 1
Source: RefSeq, a predicted model, not a curated record
UCACUUACCUGGCAGGGGAGAUACCAUGAUCAUGAAGGUGGUUCACCCAGGCGCAGGCUCAGCCAUUGCACUUCGGGUUGUGCUGACUCGCAAGGACCCCCAAAUGUGGGAAUCUCUGACUGCAUAAUUUGUGGUAGUGGGGACUGCGUCUGCGCUCUCCCUG